This 1372-nucleotide ribosomal RNA is filed under the name uncultured bacterium. RNAcentral's name for it is "bacterial SSU rRNA". It matches the Rfam family "Bacterial small subunit ribosomal RNA", at positions 28 to 1381 of the family's 1533-position model. The record is from RNAcentral.
GAUGAACGCUGGCGGCGUGCCUAAUACAUGCAAGUCGAGCGAACGGACGAGAAGCUUGCUUCUCUGAUGUUAGCGGCGGACGGGUGAGUAACACGUGGAUAACCUACCUAUAAGACUGGGAUAACUUCGGGAAACCGGAGCUAAUACCGGAUAAUAUUUUGAACCGCAUGGUUCAAAAGUGAAAGACGGUCUUGCUGUCACUUAUAGAUGGAUCCGCGCUGCAUUAGCUAGUUGGUAAGGUAACGGCUUACCAAGGCAACGAUGCAUAGCCGACCUGAGAGGGUGAUCGGCCACACUGGAACUGAGACACGGUCCAGACUCCUACGGGAGGCAGCAGUAGGGAAUCUUCCGCAAUGGGCGAAAGCCUGACGGAGCAACGCCGCGUGAGUGAUGAAGGUCUUCGGAUCGUAAAACUCUGUUAUUAGGGAAGAACAUAUGUGUAAGUAACUGUGCACAUCUUGACGGUACCUAAUCAGAAAGCCACGGCUAACUACGUGCCAGCAGCCGCGGUAAUACGUAGGUGGCAAGCGUUAUCCGGAAUUAUUGGGCGUAAAGCGCGCGUAGGCGGUUUUUUAAGUCUGAUGUGAAAGCCCACGGCUCAACCGUGGAGGGUCAUUGGAAACUGGAAAACUUGAGUGCAGAAGAGGAAAGUGGAAUUCCAUGUGUAGCGGUGAAAUGCGCAGAGAUAUGGAGGAACACCAGUGGCGAAGGCGACUUUCUGGUCUGUAACUGACGCUGAUGUGCGAAAGCGUGGGGAUCAAACAGGAUUAGAUACCCUGGUAGUCCACGCCGUAAACGAUGAGUGCUAAGUGUUAGGGGGUUUCCGCCCCUUAGUGCUGCAGCUAACGCAUUAAGCACUCCGCCUGGGGAGUACGACCGCAAGGUUGAAACUCGAAGGAAUUGACGGGGACCCGCACAAGCGGUGGAGCAUGUGGUUUAAUUCGAAGCAACGCGAAGAACCUUACCAAAUCUUGACAUCCUUUGACAACUCUAGAGAUAGAGCCUUCCCCUUCGGGGGACAAAGUGACAGGUGGUGCAUGGUUGUCGUCAGCUCGUGUCGUGAGAUGUUGGGUUAAGUCCCGCAACGAGCGCAACCCUUAAGCUUAGUUGCCAUCAUUAAGUUGGGCACUCUAAGUUGACUGCCGGUGACAAACCGGAGGAAGGUGGGGAUGACGUCAAAUCAUCAUGCCCCUUAUGAUUUGGGCUACACACGUGCUACAAUGGACAAUACAAAGGGCAGCGAAACCGCGAGGUCAAGCAAAUCCCAUAAAGUUGUUCUCAGCUCGGAUUGUAGUCUGCAGCUCGACUACAUGAAGCUGGAAUCGCUAGUAAUCGUAGAUCAGCAUGCUACGGUGAAUACGUUCUCGGGUCU